UACGUAGGGGGCGAGCGUUGUCCGGAUUCAUUGGGCGUAAAGCGCGCGUAGGCGGCCCGGCAAGUCGGCCGUGAAAUCUCCCGGCUCAACCGGGAGGGGUCGGGCGAGACUGCCGCGCUGGAGGCGGGCAGAGGGCGGUGGAAUUCCGGGUGUAGUGGUGGAAUGCGUAGAGCUCCGGAGGAACACCAGUGGCGAAGGCGGCCGCCUGGGCCCGGCCUGACGCUGAGGCGCGAAAGCGUGGGGAGCGAUCCGGAUUAGAAACCCCCGUAGUCC
Molecule: ribosomal RNA, 273 nt
Filed under: uncultured bacterium
Lineage: Bacteria
Description: partial 16S ribosomal RNA
Rfam family: Bacterial small subunit ribosomal RNA
Source: RNAcentral